AUUGAACGCUGGCGGCAGGCCUAACACAUGCAAGUCGAGCGGAUGAAGGGAGCUUGCUCCUGGAUUCAGCGGCGGACGGGUGAGUAAUGCCUAGGAAUCUGCCUGGUAGUGGGGGAUAACGUCCGGAAACGGGCGCUAAUACCGCAUACGUCCUGAGGGAGAAAGUGGGGGAUCUUCGGACCUCACGCUAUCAGAUGAGCCUAGGUCGGAUUAGCUAGUUGGUGGGGUAAAGGCCUACCAAGGCGACGAUCCGUAACUGGUCUGAGAGGAUGAUCAGUCACACUGGAAAUGAGACACGGUCCAGACUCCUACGGGAGGCAGAAGUGGGGAAGAUUGGACAAUGGGCGAAAGACUGAUCCAGCCAUGCCGCGUGUGUGAAGAAGGUCUUCGGAUUGUAAAGCACUUUAAGGUGGGAGGAAGGGCAGUAAGUUAAUACCUGGCUGUUGUGACGUUACCAACAGAAUAAGCACCGGCUAACUUCGUG
RNAcentral lists this ribosomal RNA (484 nucleotides) under uncultured bacterium. RNAcentral's name for it is "partial 16S ribosomal RNA". It matches the Rfam family "Bacterial small subunit ribosomal RNA", at positions 30 to 507 of the family's 1533-position model. The record is from RNAcentral.